GACUAUAAAAGCUUUUUGUGUUCUGCAAAACCUGCACAUUUCACCUCCAGGCUGUGAGACUUGUUCUGUUACUCCUCGUGGAGCCAGGAUUUGCUGAAAAGAUGUCUUCCCAACAAACACAUUACCCAACUAACCAGCCAUCCUGCACAGGCAGCUCAACAACGGGCCCACCAAAGAAGACCUCUGACCAAGGCUCACCCAGUUGUGGGUCACCUCAAAGUCAACAGAAGAAGCAGCCUCCUCCACAGUGCCCACAAGCGCCUAAAUAACAUCUCCUGAGGAAAAGAAGAGAAGGGUAAUAGCCGAGCUGAAGUCUAAAUGAAGACCUCCCACUUCUCUUCUUUUGUUUUUGCCCUGGGUUACAUCGCUGAAAGUGCUCGCGUGCAAAUUCUAUGACUACCGCUUUCUCUUUGAUAAUGUGUUCCUUUGGUUUGUCAAAUGUUAAGUAACAAAAAAAAUAGACACACUUUAAGCUGUCAUUAUUUUUAGACAGGGCGUUGAGUUACUUACGAGUGCUCUCCAAGAAAAUAACACCUCAGGACAUUUCUUCAGAAAAUUAGUAACAUCAUAUCUCCGAAAUGUUUCUUUAA
This is a long non-coding RNA of Gekko japonicus, 590 nucleotides long. RefSeq lists it as uncharacterized. The transcript has 2 exons. Lineage: Eukaryota; Metazoa; Chordata; Lepidosauria; Squamata; Gekkonidae. The record is from RefSeq and is a predicted model, not a curated record.